UGUUUUAACUCACGAGGUUUUUUGUGUUUUAUUUCCAAUUUAUAUUUUUUGGUGUGAGACAACACCGCCAUGUGGCGUCUCUGUUGAAAAGUUAACCUAAAAUCAUAUUAGGCCUACUCAGGUCCUAACAAUAACAAUAUAGGCACUUUCAAGUAUUUUUAUGGGUGUGAUACACGUUUGUUUAUAACGAUGUUUAUAAACUUUAUGAUAGGUUUAACUAUAACAUAAGGGAGUGAUUUUAUAAUUUGCAUUUAAUUAGUUUUUCAUCUGUUUGGGAGAUCACAAAAUAAAUAAAAAAACACUUCAUUAAUUUCGUGGACAAAGUCUGUCAUGUUUCCAUUUAGUGACCACAAAGCAAAUAUUUGUGACAAAAUGCCAUAUUUGGAACACUGCCUAACUGCGUAUUGUGAACGGGUCCCCGGAAAAGUGUUAUGACAAAUGUUUUUUUUUUUUUUGGUUAGGUACUACAAGAAAGACAUUGAAGAAGUUUCAACACCAGGAAAAAAGAGGAAAAAAAGGCCACAGGAAGGAAAGUCACUUGACACAGUCGACGAUUUCACAGUAAAUGCAAUCAGGAAUGCAAUUUACAGGAUGUACGCUGAAGGUUUGAAUGUUACAGUCGACACCAUUUUGAAAGAAAUCAGGGAAAGACAAAUAGAUUAUUAUGGUGGAAGAUCAAGUCUUCAUAAAUUGUUAAAGAAGAUGGGAUUUUCAUGGACAACUGUUGAUGGACGAAAAGCUUUGAUAGAGAAUGAAAACAUAGUAUUGAAGCGAAUAGAUUUCUUGAGAAAGUAUAAAGAAGAAAAAGAAAGAGGUGCCAAUUUCAUAUUUGUUGAUGAAACAUGGAUUUUCCAGAGAGGCAAGGCAUUAAUUUAUUUGAAAAUUUGUUCUGUGGUCCAAUACAAAGUAUUUCAUUUCCAUUUCAUAUAUUUUUCAGGAACUGUAUCAAAGUCAUGGCAGGACAAGAGUCUACAAUCUGCGAAGAGACGUACUGUUGGAGAUGGUAAAAGGUUUAUUGUUGUUAAUGCUGGAGGGCGCACUGGCUUUGUGCCAGGAGCAGGAUUACUUUUUGUUUCAGGUCAGAAGACUGCAGACUACCAUGGCGAGAUGAAUGGGGAAACUUUCUUGAUGUGGUUUGAAGACAUGUUGGUGCAUCUGGAGGAACCCAGUGUCAUUAUAAUGGACAAUGCUUCAUAUCACAGCACCCAGAUGGGCGAGGUGUGUGGAUCACGUGGAGAAGCUAAUUCAAGCAGACUGGGAGAGAGAAGUCCACAUAGACAGCGGCACCAUUCCUCCACUCAUCAUCCACCUCGGCGAGGAUAGUUCAAGUGAAGACAGUGACAGCGAAGAAUUUGAGGUUACGACACAGCAAGUAGAUGGAGACAGUGAAGUACUGGCAGUUCCUCUUGAUGAUUUACCCGGGUGUUCUUAUUGAGGUCUGUAUGUAAUAAACACCUGGGCAACUGUAAGUAUUGGGGUUUGAAACAUUUUUUUUUCUUUUAUGCAUUCCCAUUAAGUAUGUUGAUUACUGGAACUUUAUGUAUUAACUUUAUAUUACACAUAUUAUAAAAUUAAUAAUAAAUUUCAUUUCUGGAUUCGUAUAGGUGUAUGUGAAACAUUUUAUUUUGUUGUGUCUCUUCAUUUUUCAGUGAACUUACUUGGAAAACAAAAAGCCAGUCCCCAUCCAGGGCCACAAAUAAAUAAUGCAUAUAAGUGGUAUAGAAAUUACUGUCAAUUCUUUACCACAAUUUUACUGUUCAUAAAAUUAUGAUUUUGUCUAAUAAGUAUACUCAGGAAAAUGUAUAUAACCAUAUUUUUAUUUGUGGCCUUAACCGGCAAAAUGGUAGGGGUUUAUUAAAUAAAAGAAGAAAAUUCAUUUUUAAAUGUUUUCAUCUGAAUUUGUUAAUUUUAUUAAACCUUCAAUCCUUAGUCUUUUCCAGAUUGCUUAGAUGGACAGCCAUAUGUAUAAUUUACAAUACUUUUUUUUCAGAUGCAGAAAACUGUGUUGAACUGUACUA
Long non-coding RNA from Bacillus rossius redtenbacheri, 2018 nucleotides. RefSeq lists it as uncharacterized. The transcript has 3 exons. Lineage: Eukaryota; Metazoa; Arthropoda; Insecta; Phasmatodea; Bacillidae. The record is from RefSeq and is a predicted model, not a curated record.